AAUGGGGGCAACCCUGAUCUAGCCAUGCCGCGUGAGUGAUGAAGGCCUUAGGGUCGUAAAGCUCUUUCGCCUGUGAUGAUAAUGACAGUAGCAGGUAAAGAAACCCCGGCUAACUCCAUGCCAGCGGCCGCGGUAAUACGGAGGGGGUUAGCGUUGUUCGGAAUUACUGGGCGUAAAGCGCGCGUAGGCGGAUUAGAAAGUUGGGGGUGAAAUCCCGGGGCUCAACCCCGGAACUGCCUCCAAAACUGCUAGUCUAGAGUUCGAGAGAGGUGAGUGGAAUUCCGAGUGUAGAGGUGAAAUUCGUAGAUAUUCGGAGGAACACCAGUGGCGAAGGCGGCUCACUGGCUCGAUACUGACGCUGAGGUGCGAAAGUGUGGGGAGCAAACAGGAUU
RNAcentral lists this ribosomal RNA (392 nucleotides) under uncultured Gammaproteobacteria bacterium. Its description in RNAcentral is "bacterial SSU rRNA". It matches the Rfam family "Bacterial small subunit ribosomal RNA", at positions 370 to 779 of the family's 1533-position model. Lineage: Bacteria; Pseudomonadati; Pseudomonadota; Gammaproteobacteria. The record is from RNAcentral.